Molecule: ribosomal RNA, 274 nt
Filed under: uncultured Bacteroides sp.
Lineage: Bacteria; Pseudomonadati; Bacteroidota; Bacteroidia; Bacteroidales; Bacteroidaceae
Description: partial 16S ribosomal RNA
Rfam family: Bacterial small subunit ribosomal RNA
Source: RNAcentral
CAUGAUUGAAGCUUGCUUCAAUUGAUGGCGACCGGCGCACGGGUGAGUAACGCGUAUCCAACCUUCCGUACACUCAGGGAUAGCCUUUCGAAAGAAAGAUUAAUACCUGAUGGUAUCUUAAGCGCACAUGCAAAUAAGAUUAAAGAUUUAUCGGUAAGCGAUGGGGAUGCGUUCCAUUAGAUAGUAGGCGGGGUAACGGCCCACCUAGUCGACGAUGGAUAGGGGUUCUGAGAGGAAGGUCCCCACAUUGGAACUGAGACACGGUCCAAACUCC